This 1395-nucleotide ribosomal RNA is filed under the name uncultured bacterium. RNAcentral describes it as "bacterial SSU rRNA". It matches the Rfam family "Bacterial small subunit ribosomal RNA". The record is from RNAcentral.
AGAGUUUGAUCCUUGCUCAGAUUGAACGCUGGCGGCAGGCCUAACACAUGCAAGUCGAGCGGUAGAGAGGAGCUUGCUCCUCUUGAGAGCGGCGGACGGGUGAGUAAUGCCUAGGAAUCUGCCUGGUAGUGGGGGAUAACGUUCGGAAACGGACGCUAAUACCGCAUACGUCCUACGGGAGAAAGCAGGGGACCUUCGGGCCUUGCGCUAUCAGAUGAGCCUAGGUCGGAUUAGCUAGUUGGUGAGGUAAUGGCUCACCAAGGCGACGAUCCGUAACUGGUCUGAGAGGAUGAUCAGUCACACUGGAACUGAGACACGGUCCAGACUCCUACGGGAGGCAGCAGUGGGGAAUAUUGGACAAUGGGCGAAAGCCUGAUCCAGCCAUGCCGCGUGUGUGAAGAAGGUCUUCGGAUUGUAAAGCACUUUAAGUCGGGAGGAAGGGCAGUAAAUUAAUACUUUGCUGUUUUGACGUUACCGACAGAAUAAGCACCGGCUAACUCUGUGCCAGCAGCCGCGGUAAUACAGAGGGUGCAAGCGUUAAUCGGAAUUACUGGGCGUAAAGCGCGCGUAGGUGGUUUGUUAAGUUGGAUGUGAAAUCCCCGGGCUCAACCUGGGAACUGCAUUCAAAACUGACUGACUAGAGUAUGGUAGAGGGUGGUGGAAUUUCCUGUGUAGCGGUGAAAUGCGUAGAUAUAGGAAGGAACACCAGUGGCGAAGGCGACCACCUGGACUAAUACUGACACUGAGGUGCGAAAGCGUGAGGAGCAAACAGGAUUAGAUACCCUGGUAGUCCACGCCGUAAACGAUGUCAACUAGCCGUUGGAAGCCUUGAGCUUUUAGUGGCGCAGCUAACGCAUUAAGUUGACCGCCUGGGGAGUACGGCCGCAAGGUUAAAACUCAAAUGAAUUGACGGGGGCCCGCACAAGCGGUGGAGCAUGUGGUUUAAUUCGAAGCAACGCGAAGAACCUUACCAGGCCUUGACAUCCAAUGAACUUUCUAGAGAUAGAUUGGUGCCUUCGGGAGCAUUGAGACAGGUGCUGCAUGGCUGUCGUCAGCUCGUGUCGUGAGAUGUUGGGUUAAGUCCCGUAACGAGCGCAACCCUUGUCCUUAGUUACCAGCACGUAAUGGUGGGCACUCUAAGGAGACUGCCGGUGACAAACCGGAGGAAGGUGGGGAUGACGUCAAGUCAUCAUGGCCCUUACGGCCUGGGCUACACACGUGCUACAAUGGUCGGUACAGAGGGUUGCCAAGCCGCGAGGUGGAGCUAAUCCCACAAAACCGAUCGUAGUCCGGAUCGCAGUCUGCAACUCGACUGCGUGAAGUCGGAAUCGCUAGUAAUCGCGAAUCAGAAUGUCGCGGUGAAUACGUUCCCGGGCCUUGCACACACCGCCCGUC